RNAcentral lists this transfer RNA (73 nucleotides) under Parcubacteria bacterium DG_74_2. RNAcentral describes it as "tRNA-Ala". It matches the Rfam family "tRNA". From Rfam's summary of the family: Transfer RNA (tRNA) molecules are approximately 80 nucleotides in length. Lineage: Bacteria; Candidatus Parcubacteria. The record is from RNAcentral.
GGGCCCGUAGCUCAAUGGUGGUAGCGCCUCAAUGGCAUUGAGGAGGUUAGGGGUUCAAAUCCCCUCGGGUCCA